This 2918-nucleotide long non-coding RNA is filed under the name Homo sapiens (human). RNAcentral describes it as "HSALNT0360090". Lineage: Eukaryota; Metazoa; Chordata; Mammalia; Primates; Hominidae. The record is from RNAcentral.
GAGCACACCUGAGACACAAGGACAAAUUAAAGCCAGUGAAUAAAACUAAAGGUCACUUUAAAGGAGUAUAAAGCUACAGUGGACAUAACGUGGCAUAGGUGAUCUUGACACCACAGAACUGUGAAGCCUGCAAUCCUACAAUAUAGAGGGGUAUGAGGAAGACAUCUCAGGAUACUGAAGAGUGUUGCAGAGGACCCACAAAUAGUCCUGAGCAUGAGAUGGUGGACAACAAACCCAUUUUUGGUGUGUUGCAGCAAGAGCGCUGGCCUGCCAUGAUCUGCUACAUUCUACCUGGAAAUACAAGUCAGAAGUCAGCCUGUCAUAUUUUUUCAAAAGGUGACUUGUCAAAAUGAGACUUCUUUCAUAAAAUCAGUCUGGUUGGGCAUGGUGGCUCACGCCUGUAAUCCUAGCACUUUGGGAGGCUGAAGUAGGUGGAUGGCUUGAGCCCAGGAGUUUGAGACCAGCCUGGGCAACAUGGCAAAAUCCCAUCUCUACAAAAAAUACAAAAAUUAGCCGGGCAUAGUGUCACACACCUGUGGUCCCAGCUACUCAGGAGACUGAGAUGGGAGGAUCACCUGAGCCCGGGAGGUUAAGGCUGCAGUGAGCCAGGAUUGGGCCACUGCACUACAGCAUGGGUGACAGAGUGAAAUGCUGUCUCAAAAAACAACAACAAAAAAUCUCUCAAUCUGUCCAAAUAGUUAGAUUGUCUUCAGUAAUCUUUCCAUCGCGAUCUUGCUUUGUUUCUACUACUACUCUGAUGCUACAUAAUUAAGGUCACCAAUCGUUGUCACUGUCUUUCCAAACCUGUUGUUCCUUACUUCCUCCGGCCAUUCUUCCUUGUCCCCCUCCCAUUCAUCAUCCAGACACACACACACACACACACACACACACACACACACACACACACAUACAUUUUAACAAUACCAAACUCCUUGUAGUUCCCCUAAAUGAAUCAUGUUGUUUCCCUUACCUGAAAUGCCCAAUCCCUUUUUUAUUUUCAUUGCUAACUCCUCUCAUCUUUCCAGAGUGUUCACGUCUACCAGGAGUGUUCUUGUCCCUCCCAUUCCUUUCUACUCUAGCUCCACUCACAGUUCUGUGUAAUCCCAUCUUGUGGACUAACCCGUGUUAAAAAGAUUUGUUUGCUGAUUUGAUUCUUCCCUCCACUACACCCCCCCAUAACACAAAAUGAGUCCCUUAAAAGCAGAAAUGUUGCCUCACUGGUCUCCAGCACCCAGUGGAGUAUUUGGUAUGAAUGUCGGUCGAACUGUACUCUCUCCAGUGUGCAUUUUGUUCCAGGAAGACUAGGUAAUAGCAGGAGCAUUAGAAGCCUCAUCUUCAGGGCUGUUUGACAUUGAUUUUUUAAAAAAUACAUUUCCUGAGGUCUCACUAGUGCCAGAAUAUGAAAAAAAUAAUCAUUCUUCUCUGACUAAAGUGGAAUCACCAGUGAUUUAUUCUCUCCUUAAUCAGUAAUACUAGCUAACAUUUAUAUAGCCCUCACUAGGUCCCAAGCACUUUGAACAUAUCAUCUUAUUUCAUGUCUAUAACCACCUUCAGGUAGGCACUGUUGUUACCCUCCAAUUUACAAAGGAGGAAACUGAAGUGCAGGGAGGUUAAGUAAGUGGCAAGCUAGAAUCUGGAUACAGGUUGUCUGGUUCCAGGGACCAGGCAGUUAGCCAUUAUGCUAUGCGGCAUGAUUUCUUGCUUUCCUUGCCCUUUUUUCUUAAAUGUUUAAUUACAUAAGUAGCAUAUCAAUACAUUUAAAUUGUCAAAAAUUCAGAAACAAAGCAAAAACUCACUACUAUUUGAUGGGUAUCUUUCAAGAUCUUUUUCUUUGUUUACAUACAUAUAUACAUUAUGUGUGUGUACAUAUACACAAAGAAAUAUGUAUUUUUAUGUAACUGGAUUAUGCCUUAUUUUUCUAUAGAUUUGUUUUCAUUUAACAAUUUGUCUUAAAGGUCUUUUCAUAUCGAUGCAUAUUGAUCUAUUUUAUUCUUUGAAUGUUGCAUAGUAUGGAUAUAUUCCAUAGAAUGGGUGUAAUAUAGUUUAGGUAACCAUUUUUCUUUUGCGAGUCAUUUAUGUUGUUUCUGAUUUCACUGUUACAAACCAGGCUGCACUGAGUAUCCUUGAACAUGUCUCUUCACAUUCAUGCAACUAUACGUCUAGGAAAGAUCCUCAGAAAUAAAAUUGUUGGGAUGAAGUUUGUGUUGACUUUUUUUUUUUUAAUGGUGACUCACAUCCUGCCUUCCAGGGAGGCUGUGGCUUUUAUUGUUUCAUCAUUCACAUAUUAAAAGGGUUGUGUACACUUGGUUGAAUUUAUGGCAGAGUAAAAAAUCAUAAUAAAAUAAAUAAAAGGGCUGUGGCUGGAGGUUUUCCAGGAAAUCAACUCUCUAUAAAAGCACUGCUCACACCCUAACAUGCCAAGGAAAGCAAAGGCCUUCUCUCUUCUCCACCUCAUCUUUAGGAAAAAGGAAUUUUGGCCUGAGUUGCAGAAUAAACAGUGUCCUUGAGAGCAUACAGUGGGAUUCCUGAAAAAGAAGGUGGCAGGCAAGAGGAAGGUGAAACUUUCUGUGGGAAGAAAUCAAGUGGCUCUGUCAAAAGACAAAAUUACAACCCAUUUAGUUAAAGAUCUUAAUAGGCUUUUAUCGGUGACUCUUGAAUCAGGCAACAACUCAAUCUGUAAAUGAGCUGAACAGAGAAGUUUGGCUUUAUAGACAAAAAGGGCUGGGGAAGCAGACAUAGAGAACAAAAAGUGGAUUAGUCAUUUUGAAGUUGCUUUCUUCCUAAAGGUUAAAGCAGAGGGGACUUCCUUAUCAUGCCGGGUAAAACUGGCCUGUUUGGGGAUUUGGCUCUCUCUCUCUCCCUGCCACCCCCAACCCCCUGAUUCCUUGGAAGUUCAGAUAAACACCUUGGUUUUGGUU